Molecule: long non-coding RNA, 382 nt
Organism: Thalassophryne amazonica
Lineage: Eukaryota; Metazoa; Chordata; Actinopteri; Batrachoidiformes; Batrachoididae
Exons: 5
Source: RefSeq, a predicted model, not a curated record
GAAAAGUUCUCGGCCUCACCAAGAAGGGUUGUCAGGAUACUCCUAGUUCCUGGUUAUUUUUCAACAUAGUCCCCCUUCACCUCAAUGCACUUUGUCCAGCGGUGCGCCAACAUUCCGAUGCCUUCAUGGUAGAAGGCUUCAUUUUGGUCUUUCAGGUAGGACUCUACAGCCUUAAUGAUGUCAUCAUCUGACUCAAAAGGGCGUCCACGAAUGUGGGAUUUCAGUUUGGGAAACAGGAAGAAGUCAGAUGGGGCCAGAUGUGGUGAAUAAGGUGGGUGGGGCAACAUUUCAAACCCACACUUGGUAGCUUCAGCCACUGCAACUUUUGCUGUGUGGACAGGUGCUUUUCUGAAGAAGGAUAGCAGCUUUCCGCUGUGUUUUG